RNAcentral lists this ribosomal RNA (962 nucleotides) under Caenorhabditis japonica. Its description in RNAcentral is "SSU rRNA". It matches the Rfam family "Eukaryotic small subunit ribosomal RNA", at positions 828 to 1823 of the family's 1831-position model. Lineage: Eukaryota; Metazoa; Nematoda; Chromadorea; Rhabditida; Rhabditidae. The record is from RNAcentral.
CUUCGGUUCUUUUUGUUGGUUCUAGAAUUGAUCUAAUGGUUAAGAGGGACAAACCGGGGGCAUUCGUAUCAUUACGCGAGAGGUGAAAUUCGUGGACCGUAGUGAGACGCCCAAUAGCGAAAGCAUUUGCCAAGAAUGUCUUCAUUAAUCAAGAACGAAAGUCAGAGGUUCGAAGGCGAUUAGAUACCGCCCUAGUUCUGACCGUAAACGAUGCCAUCUCGCGAUUCGGAGGGUUCAUGCCCUACCGAGGAGCUACCCGGAAACGAAAGUCUUUCGGUUCCGGGGGUAGUAUGGUUGCAAAGCUGAAACUUAAAGAAAUUGACGGAAGGGCACCACAAGGCGUGGAGCUUGCGGCUUAAUUUGACUCAACACGGGAAAACUCACCCGGUCCGGACACUAUUAGGACUGACAGAUUGAAAGCUCUUUCUCGAUUUGGUGGUUGGUGGUGCAUGGCCGUUCUUAGUUGGUGGAGUGAUUUGUCUGGUUUAUUCCGAUAACGAGCGAGACUCUAGCCUGCUAAAUAGUCGACGAAUCUUCGGGUUCGUAUAACUUCUUAGAGGGAUAAGCGGUGUUUAGCCGCACGAGAUUGAGCGAUAACAGGUCUGUGAUGCCCUUAGAUGUCCGGGGCUGCACGCGUGCUACACUGGUGGAGUCAGCGGGUUUUUCCUAUGCCGAAAGGUAUCGGUAAACCGUUGAACUUCUUCCAUGUCCGGGAUAGGGUAUUGUAAUUAUUACCCUUAAACGAGGAAUGCCUAGUAAGUGUGAGUCAUCAGCUCACGUUGAUUACGUCCCUGCCCUUUGUACACACCGCCCGUCGCUAUCCGGGACUGAACUGAUUCGAGAAGAGUGGGGACUGUGGCUGCGAGGUUUUACCACUUCGCAGUUGCGGAAACCAUUUUUAUCGCAUUGGUUUGAACCGGGUAAAAGUCGUAACAAGGUAGCUGUAGGUGAACCUGCAGCUG